GUGGUGACACAUAAUCGAAAGCCCCGACUGUUUACUAAAAACAUAAGAAUCUGCAAUGAUUAAUAUCGUCGUAUAGGUUCUGAAAUUUGCCCAAUGCCAUUAAUAUAAGAGAGGUAAUGUAAGUGACUAAUCGAAAAUCUGGUUAAUAGCGGUCUUAACUAUGAGGAUCCAAAGGUAGCAAAAUCAAUUGGCCAUUAAAUGUGA
Molecule: ribosomal RNA, 204 nt
Filed under: Gomphoid fungal sp. 2
Lineage: Eukaryota; Fungi; Basidiomycota; Agaricomycetes; Gomphales; Gomphaceae
Description: partial large subunit ribosomal RNA
Rfam family: Bacterial large subunit ribosomal RNA
Source: RNAcentral